Molecule: long non-coding RNA, 232 nt
Filed under: Nicotiana benthamiana
Lineage: Eukaryota; Viridiplantae; Streptophyta; Magnoliopsida; Solanales; Solanaceae
Description: long non-coding RNA (NBEN_LNC022535)
Source: RNAcentral
UGUCAUUCUCCCAACACAAGAAAAAUUACUCCAUAAUGGAGUUAGUACUGACGAUGAAAAUAUUCUUGCCCAUUAAAUAAAAAAAUAAAAAGAAAUAUCCAAAAGAAUAAUUCCCCUAUUUAAGUAAAAAUAGGAACUAGAGUAGUUUUCUACACCGGAUAACUGAAGAGACUGAAGAAGAGAAACUUCUGAAAAUGGAAACAAUUGUAAUUAUGAGCUUCCUCCUCCCUUC